Non-coding RNA from Podarcis lilfordi (Lilford's wall lizard), 77 nucleotides. The record is from the annotation of a GenBank genome assembly. Lineage: Eukaryota; Metazoa; Chordata; Lepidosauria; Squamata; Lacertidae.
GGAAGGGUCUGUAGUUCAGUGGCAGAGCAACUGCUUUGCAUGCAGAAGGUGUCCCGGUUCAAUCCUGAGCACCUCCA